UGUGCCAUGAAGAAUUUGUUGCCCUGUGGCUU
This 32-nucleotide non-coding RNA is filed under the name Mus musculus (house mouse). The record is from RNAcentral. Lineage: Eukaryota; Metazoa; Chordata; Mammalia; Rodentia; Muridae.